AUUGAACGCUGGCGGAAUGCUUUACACAUGCAAGUCGAACGGCAGCACGGGGGCAGCCCUGGUGGCGAGUGGCGAACGGGUGAGUAAUACAUCGGAACGUGCCCGGUCGUGGGGGAUAACGUAGCGAAAGUUACGCUAAUACCGCAUACGAUCUGAGGAUGAAAGCGGGGGACCUUCGGGCCUCGCGCGAUCGGAGCGGCCGAUGUCAGAUUAGGUAGUUGGUGGGGUAAAGGCCUACCAAGCCGACGAUCUGUAGCUGGUCUGAGAGGACGACCAGCCACACUGGGACUGAGACACGGCCCAGACUCCUACGGGAGGCAGCAGUGGGGAAUUUUGGACAAUGGGCGCAAGCCUGAUCCAGCCAUUCCGCGUGCAGGACGAAGGCCUUCGGGUUGUAAACUGCUUCUGUACGGAACGAAAAGGCUCUGGCUAAUACCUGGGGCUCAUGACGGUACCGUAAGAAUAAGCACCGGCUAACUACGUG
Molecule: ribosomal RNA, 484 nt
Filed under: uncultured bacterium
Lineage: Bacteria
Description: partial 16S ribosomal RNA
Rfam family: Bacterial small subunit ribosomal RNA
Source: RNAcentral